UACGGAGGGUGCAAGCGUUAUCCGGAUUCACUGGGUUUAAAGGGUGCGUAGGUGGGUAAGUAAGUCAGUGGUGAAAUCUUCGAGCUUAACUCGGAAACUGCCAUUGAUACUAUUUAUCUUGAAUGUCUUGGAGGUGAGCGGAAUAUGUCAUGUAGCGGUGAAAUGCUUAGAUAUGACAUAGAACACCAAUUGCGAAGGCAGCUCACUACACGAUUAAUGACACUGAGGCACGAAAGCGUGGGGAUCAAACAGG
RNAcentral lists this ribosomal RNA (253 nucleotides) under uncultured bacterium. RNAcentral's name for it is "partial 16S ribosomal RNA". It matches the Rfam family "Bacterial small subunit ribosomal RNA", at positions 524 to 776 of the family's 1533-position model. The record is from RNAcentral.